Molecule: non-coding RNA, 61 nt
Filed under: unclassified sequences
Description: cow-rumen-1 RNA
Rfam family: cow-rumen-1 RNA
About the family: cow rumen metagenome.
Source: Rfam by way of RNAcentral
UCAAGGGUUUCCGAGUUAGAGCUUAACGGAUGAAAAACCCUCGCCGGACACGUCGAAGAGG